UUUGGUUUUUCUCCCUUUAUUAUACAUGUUCAGAAAGUAAAGAUAUCAUUUGCAAUGGUAGGAUCAUUCUAUUGUUCUUUUUCUUGUGGAGUGUUUUCAUUGACAUAGGCUUGAUAUACCNNNNNAAAUUUCUAUGUUGUAUUAACUAAACAAGGGAGUUUUAUAAUAUGUUCAAGCCAGGAGGUGCGUAUACAAAUAACCCGACAAAACUCCAGAAACAAAAUUGACUAAAUUGGUGGCUAAACUGAAAAAAAAAAAAAAAAAAACAUAGGAAGCACUAGCUUUUUCAUAGCUUUCUGCUUUUGCCUUUUCGUG
Molecule: unclassified non-coding RNA, 315 nt
Filed under: Hevea brasiliensis (rubber tree)
Lineage: Eukaryota; Viridiplantae; Streptophyta; Magnoliopsida; Malpighiales; Euphorbiaceae
Source: RNAcentral